AGAUCGUGUGUAGGGCGGCAACAGGGAGAACAAAAUGAAAGGACCAACAUGGCAAAUCGCAUGAGGCCCAAUGGGAGGGGCGAGCCACUUCUUAUCUCCCCACCUCUUCAUAUCAUAAUCGGUCGAUCGAGGAACACCCCAUGUGCUUCUCUUCCCUCGGUUGGUCUUUUGGGCAGUUCCGGCGCUCUUCCUCUCCCAGUAGCUCCACCCCCAAGUUGAGCCCAUAAGUCUUGUCGACCGGCAACUUUCUGACACAACCUGCUGCAGGUCCAUAAUCUCUCAUCAGAUUUCUACACACCUAGGGUUCCAUCGUACAAUUCACACAGAGACCCCUGGUUUGUAGAUACCGCCCUGGACGUUCCAAACCCAGGCAAAGGGCGCGUGCGAGACACUCAGGUGGCGGCGGGAAGGUGCACCGAAGCUUCCUGCGCCCGAACAAAUCUAUCUCCCCGGCCAACCAACUUUGUCGCGCAGAUAGAUAGACGGCUGCAUGGCUGCAUGCAUGAGCACGGGAGCGGCGAAGUGACGGUGGUGAGGCAUCCGGACACCGCGGAGGUGGUAC
Triticum aestivum (bread wheat) is the source of this 562-nucleotide long non-coding RNA. RefSeq lists it as uncharacterized. The transcript is spliced from 5 exons. Lineage: Eukaryota; Viridiplantae; Streptophyta; Magnoliopsida; Poales; Poaceae. The record is from RefSeq and is a predicted model, not a curated record.